UCAUCCUGAGUAGAUUAAAGAGGAAAAGGCACUGGAUUAAGUAUAAUUAACUUCUCACUGGCUAAUGAAUGCCUUUGAGAGAGUUAUGGUUUGCGGUUGGCAUGCCCUAGUAAUUAUCUCUAAGCGUCCUAACAAGGAGGUGGAGAAAAUCGGGCAAGGAACCCAGCCUUUGCUGAAUACUUCCUCUAUUAUACAGUGUGCUAGCUGCUCCCUGUCUGCAAAACUGAGGCUCAAAGGAGCCAUUUCCCCAAAGUGACAAAGUAGGUAAGUGGUGGAGCUCGGAUAGGAAACCAGAGCCCCUGACUCUGCUGCUUGGCUCUGUGAAUCCUGUUUGAAAAUGGACAUUCAGAGAAUGUCACCAUCAUCAUCACCAUCACCAGCAUCGUCCCCUAAGGGUGUUGUGUUUUCAAAUGCAUCACUUCAUAUAUUUAUUUAUUCUUGAUUCCACUGGCACAAAUAAAAUAAGUUACUACUCCCCAUGUGGACUGAAAAGCAGAUUAGCCCAGCUCCUGUCGUUGUUCCUUUCCCCUCUUGUCUCCUGGAGGUCAUUUGCCUUCUCCCCAAAAAACUCUCCCAACUAUGUUAAAAUUGCUGACACUCAAACUGUGCAGUCUGGCCAGGCACCCUGAAGACAGAGCUCAUAGGAGUGGAAGCUGAAACCAGUGGCUAGAGGUAAGAUUUGGAAUCCUCUCUGAAUUUCAGAUAUUAUUCUAUUUUAUUACGUAUUCCACAUUCCAGUGGAAGAAAACAAGAUCUGGGAACAAACAGUCUGCAGUGUCUCCCCGCCCCCUCCCGGAGCCAUGCCUGGCCGUGCAGCAUGAAGGGGAGAGGCUGGGCUCAAUAAAUACUCACAUGAUGACAUCCUGGUCCUCUCCGCAGUCAGAGCACCAGAUUUUGGAACUGAGGUCCAAAGAAGACGUGACUCUCUUAAGUUACACAACUAAAAAAAAGAAGAAAUAUCUCCCACGUGUAAGGCACUGAGUUGGCUGCUGUAUGGAAGAUAAAGUUGUUAAAUUCCUAGGCCCGCCUCAGGAGCUCCCCAUCCAACAAGGGAAACGAGGUGGCUAUCUGAGCAGCUCCAGUACAGGACGGUACGUGCUAACCAUUAAAAAUCAGACCAAUCGGGCUUCCCUGGUGGCGCAGUGGUUGAGAGUCCGCCUGCCGAUGCGGGGGACGCGGGUUCGUGCCCCGGUCCGGGAGGAUCCCACGUGCCGCGGAGCGGCUGGGCCCGUGAGCCAUGGCCGCUGCGCCUGCGCGUCCGGAGCCUGUGCUCCGCAGCGGGAGAGGCCACAGCAGUGAGAGGCCCCCGUACCGCAAAAAAAAAAAAAAAAAAAAAAAUCAGACCAAAUAUAGAAAGUUGGGGGUAGGGGUGUGGCACAUGAUAAUGGUGUCCUGGGAACUUGAAAGCUGAAGCAGGUCUAGGAAAUACACAGUCGGAUUCUGGCAGGAAGGGUGGUACAUGCCUGAGGUUGGGAAGGGGGCUGAUCUCUCCAGGCAGAAGGAACGGCCACAGGCGAGAGGAGGUGGGAAAGCUCUGGGGCCUCACGGAAAACAGCAAACCAUGCUUCAUUUGGAAGCCGGCGGAGUGCUGAGCUGAAAGUUAGGGCAACUGCAUGAUUUACUGUUGAAGCAGGACGCUUUAGAGAGUGAGGAGGGAUGCAAUUAAUAUUUACACCAAACCACGGGCAGAAAGUGGGGUGCACCCAGGCCAGAGAGGAGGAAGAGUUGCCCACUAAGAGGUGGGCAGGGCCCAGAGGGUGAAGGAUUUUCCAUCCCAGACUGAAGGGUUUGGACCUCAGGCUCCAAUUCACUGGGAAGCAGAUCAGAGCAGUCAUUUAGGGAAGAGUGGAAAUCAUUCUGUGAGACACUCACCACACUGCACAGGGUACCAGGGUGAGGAGGGAGUGUUCCCGGCUCUCCUGAGGCCUCUGGCUAAGCAGGAACACCCCAUCCUCCCAUGUGUCCUGUUGGACCUACGACCACGUAUGCCCGGCACACCGCAUGGGACUUGUAGAGGGAGAGAAAAAAUGGGUGGAAUAAGACUUGUUUCCUUCCCUGGGGGAGCUACCAAUUUUGCUGAGAGAGAAGACUUUCAGGUAUUAAACAGGGAGCAGAGUGUGAUUUGCAAACUCCAGUGUCAUCAUAUUCCGAAAGGCACAGCUGAGGCAGUUAGCGCUUCUGGUGGAUUGGAGGGGAGAGGUCAGGGUGGCCUGGAUCUCAGGGAACGGGAGCCAGGAGCAGGUAACCUGAGCCCAGCGGGGAGGAUUAGACUUUGGCUGGAUGGGGAGGAGGGGAGGGCAUUCCCGGCAGAUGUAUCGGGGCUGGAACAAGCAGGUCGUGUGUAAGGGACAGAGGAGAAAUGAGCUGUGUGGGGAGAGGGCCCCGAAGGACAGGCGCUGUGGGCUGGAAGCACAGAAUGCUGCGCAGGAGAGAACCGCCAGGGAAAUCCUGCUUUUCCUCUUCACUCAGAUAUAGAAACUGAGGCGGAUAGAAGAUAAGCUACAUGCCCAAUUAAGAGGCUGACACUUGAACCUGGGAGGUAUGACUCUGGAGCCAGCCCUUAUGCCUCCCAGGUGCCCUGGAUGAACUCAGCUGGUAUCUUCUUGGGAACCAGCUCUAUGUUACCAGGUAAAGCUGGUCAGCCCUAUGCCCACGUAGGUAAAUAGCAGCAUUUUUUUUAGAAUGCUCAGACACACCCCGUAUUAGUUUCCUAGAGCCAGCAUAACAAGCUACCACAAAGAGAAUAGCAUAAAACAAAAAGUUAUUCCUUCACAGUUCUGGAGGCCAGAAGUCCAAAAUCAAGGUCUCAGCAGGACCACGCUCCCUCUGAAGGCUCUCGGGAAGAACCUCUCCUUUCGCCCCUUCCCAGCCUCGGGCGGCUGCUGGCAAUCCCGGGCUUUUCUCACCUCACAGCUGCAUCGCUCCAAUCUCUGCCUGUCUUCACAUGGCUGCUUUCCCGCUCCAUCUGCGUCUUUUUUUUUUUUUUAAA
Kogia breviceps (pygmy sperm whale) is the source of this 2989-nucleotide non-coding RNA. The record is from RefSeq and is a predicted model, not a curated record. Lineage: Eukaryota; Metazoa; Chordata; Mammalia; Artiodactyla; Physeteridae.